This 396-nucleotide ribosomal RNA is filed under the name uncultured bacterium. Its description in RNAcentral is "bacterial SSU rRNA". It matches the Rfam family "Bacterial small subunit ribosomal RNA", at positions 138 to 518 of the family's 1533-position model. The record is from RNAcentral.
GGGGGAUAACAUCCGGAAACGGGUGCUAAUACCGCAUAGUUUCUUGAUUGCAUGAUUGAGAAAGGAAAGACGGCCUUUGUGCUGUCGCUUAUGGAUGGACCCGCGGCGUAUUAGUUAGUGGUGAGGUAACGGCUCACCAAGACGAUGAUACGUAGCCGACCUGAGAGGGUGAUCGGCCACAUUGGGACUGAGACACGGCCCAAACUCCUACGGGAGGCAGCAGUAGGGAAUCUUCCGCAAUGGACGAAAGUCUGACGGAGCAACGCCGCGUGAGUGAAGAAAAGGUUUUCGGAUCGUAAAACUCUGUUGUCAGAGAAGAACAAGUUGGAGAGUAACUGCUCCAGCCUUGACGGUAUCUGACCAGAAAGCCACGGCUAACUACGUGCCAGCCGCGGC